Molecule: ribosomal RNA, 468 nt
Filed under: uncultured bacterium
Lineage: Bacteria
Description: partial 16S ribosomal RNA
Rfam family: Bacterial small subunit ribosomal RNA
Source: RNAcentral
GACGAACGCUGGCGGCGUGCUUAACACAUGCAAGUCGAACGGAAAGGCCCUGCUUUUGUGGGGUGCUCGAGUGGCGAACGGGUGAGUAACACGUGAGUAACCUGCCCUUGACUUUGGGAUAACUUCAGGAAACUGGGGCUAAUACCGGAUAGGAGCUCCUGCUGCAUGGUGGGGGUUGGAAAGUUUCGGCGGGUGGGGAUGGACUCGCGGCUUAUCAGCUUGUUGGUGGGGUAGUGGCUUACCAAGGCUUUGACGGGUAGCCGGCCUGAGAGGGUGACCGGCCACAUUGGGACUGAGAUACGGCCCAGACUCCUACGGGAGGCAGCAGUGGGAAAUAUUGCACAAUGGGCGGAAGCCUGAUGCAGCAACGCCGCGUGCGGGAUGACGGCCUUCGGGUUGUAAACCGCUUACGCCUGUGACGAAGCGUGAGUGACGGUAAUGGGUAAAGAAGCACCGGCUAACUACGUG